GGUUAUAGUCUGUUAACACCUCGUGUUUGACCCCGGUGUCGGUCUCGGGUUCGGGGUGUUACAUUUGAUUGGUAUCAGAGCUAUGGUUUAGUCGGUUCUAGGACUACCAUAGCGCGUAUGAGUCUAGCUAUACAUGCCUUAAUGUUAAUGUUUAAAUGUGUGAUGACUUCUGACGGUUGAAAUGUUUUUGUUUUGAUUAGUAAAUGGAUCCCGGUGUAGAAAGAACCCUAGCGGAUGACGUUGAGAGCGUAGC
RNAcentral lists this long non-coding RNA (253 nucleotides) under Gossypium barbadense (sea-island cotton). RNAcentral describes it as "long non-coding RNA (GBAR_LNC000579)". The record is from RNAcentral. Lineage: Eukaryota; Viridiplantae; Streptophyta; Magnoliopsida; Malvales; Malvaceae.